RNAcentral lists this ribosomal RNA (484 nucleotides) under uncultured bacterium. Its description in RNAcentral is "partial 16S ribosomal RNA". It matches the Rfam family "Bacterial small subunit ribosomal RNA", at positions 30 to 507 of the family's 1533-position model. The record is from RNAcentral.
AUUGAACGCUGGCGGCAUGCCUUACACAUGCAAGUCGAACGGCAGCGCGGGAGCAAUCCUGGCGGCGAGUGGCGAACGGGUGAGUAAUACAUCGGAACGUGCCCAAUCGUGGGGGAUAACGCAGCGAAAGCUGUGCUAAUACCGCAUACGAUCUACGGAUGAAAGCAGGGGAUCGCAAGACCUUGCGCGAAUGGAGCGGCCAAUGGCAGAUUAGGUAGUUGGUGAGGUAAAGGCUCACCAAGCCUUCGAUCUGUAGCUGGUCUGAGAGGACGACCAGCCACACUGGGACUGAGACACGGCCCAGACUCCUACGGGAGGCAGCAGUGGGGAAUUUUGGACAAUGGGCGAAAGCCUGAUCCAGCCAUGCCGCGUGCAGGAUGAAGGCCUUCGGGUUGUAAACUGCUUUUGUACGGAACGAAACGGUCUUUUCUAAUAAAGAAGGCUAAUGACGGUACCGUAAGAAUAAGCACCGGCUAACUACGUG